UACAGAGGGUGCGAGCGUUAAUCGGAAUUACUGGGCGUAAAGCGCACGUAGGUGGUUUUGUAAGCCGGAUGUGAAAUCCCCGGGCUCAACCCGGGAACUGCAUUCGAGACUGCAUUACUCGAGUAUGGGAGAGGGAAGCGGAAUUUCCGGUGUAGCGGUGAAAUGCGUAGAUAUCGGAAGGAACAUCAGUGGCGAAAGCGGCUUCCUGGCCCAAUACUGACGCUGAGGCGCGAAAGCUAGGGGAGCAAACAGG
Molecule: ribosomal RNA, 253 nt
Filed under: uncultured bacterium
Lineage: Bacteria
Description: partial 16S ribosomal RNA
Rfam family: Bacterial small subunit ribosomal RNA
Source: RNAcentral